Molecule: ribosomal RNA, 460 nt
Filed under: uncultured bacterium
Lineage: Bacteria
Description: partial 16S ribosomal RNA
Rfam family: Bacterial small subunit ribosomal RNA
Source: RNAcentral
CCUACGGGCGGCAGCAGUGAGGAAUAUUGGUCAAUGGACGAGAGUCUGAACCAGCCAAGUCGCGUGAAGGAUGACUGUCCUAUGGGUUGUAAACUUCUUUUAUAUGGGAAUAAAACGUUCCACGUGUGGGAUUUUGUAUGUACCAUAUGAAUAAGGAACGGCUAACUCCGUGCCAGCAGCCGCGGUAAUACGGAGGAGCCGAGUGUUAUCCGGAUUGAUUGGGUUUAAAGGGAGCGUAGGUGGAUUGUUAAGUCAGUUGUGAAAGUUUGGGGCUCAACCGUGGAAUUGCAGUUGAAACUGGCAGUCUUGAGUACAGUAGAGGUGGGCGGAAUUCGUGGUGUAGCGGUGAAAUGCUUAGAGAUCACGAAGAACUCCGAUGGCGAAGGCAGUUCACUGGACUGCAACUGACGCUGAGGCUCGAAAGUGUGGGUAUCAAACAGGAUUAGAUACCCGUGUAGUC